Molecule: ribosomal RNA, 406 nt
Filed under: uncultured bacterium
Lineage: Bacteria
Description: partial 16S ribosomal RNA
Rfam family: Bacterial small subunit ribosomal RNA
Source: RNAcentral
GAUGAACGCUAGCUACAGGCUUAACACAUGCAAGUCGAGCGACCGGCGCACGGGUGAGUAACACGUAACCACCCUGCCCUGUACUCGGGGAUAGCCUUUCGAAAGAAAGAUUAAUACCCAACAUAAAGGAUGGGGAUGCGUUCCAUUAGGUUGUGGGUGAGGUAACGCCCCACCAAGCCUUCGAUGGAUAGGGGUGCUGAGAGGAAGGUCCACUGGAACGGAGCUGAGGCACGGUCCAAACUGGGAGGUGACGCAGGGGAGAGGAAUAUAAGGCAAGGGGCGCUAGCCUGAACCAGCCAAGUAUCUUGAAGGAUGAAUGGGUAUGAGGCGUAAACUACUGGUAAAGAAGAAUAGGUAUUAGAUGAAUAAGGACCGGCUAACUCCGUGCCAGCAGCCGCGGUAAUAC